RNAcentral lists this ribosomal RNA (440 nucleotides) under uncultured bacterium. RNAcentral's name for it is "partial 16S ribosomal RNA". It matches the Rfam family "Bacterial small subunit ribosomal RNA", at positions 338 to 795 of the family's 1533-position model. The record is from RNAcentral.
CCUACGGGAGGCAGCAGUGGGGAAUAUUGCACACUGGGGGAAACCCUGAUGCAGCGACGCCGCGUGAGUGAAGAAGUAAUUCGUUAUGUACAGCUCUAUCAGCAGGGAAGAAAAUGACUGUACCUGAGUAAGAAGCCCCGGCUAACUACGUGCCAGCAGCCGCGGUAAUACGUAGGGGGCAAGCGUUAGCCGGAUUUACUGGGUGGAAAGGGAGCGUAGACGGCAGUGCAAGUCUGUAGUGAAAGGCGGGGGCUCAACCCCCGGACUGCUCUGGAAACUGUACGGCUGGAGUGCAGGAGAGGUAAGUGGAAUUCCUAGUGUAGCGGUGAAAUGCGUAGAUAUUAGGAGGAACACCAGUGGCGAAGGCGGCUUACUGGACUGUAACUGACGUUGAGGCUCGAAAGCGUGGGGAGCAAACAGGAUUAGAUACCCGAGUAGUC